RNAcentral lists this ribosomal RNA (253 nucleotides) under uncultured bacterium. RNAcentral describes it as "partial 16S ribosomal RNA". It matches the Rfam family "Bacterial small subunit ribosomal RNA", at positions 524 to 776 of the family's 1533-position model. The record is from RNAcentral.
UACGAAGGGGGCUAGCGUUGCUCGGAAUCACUGGGCGUAAAGCGCACGUAGGCGGACUCUUAAGUCGGUGGUGAAAUCCUGGAGCUCAACUCCAGAACUGCCUUCGAUACUGAGAAGCUUGAGUUCGGGAGAGGUGAGUGGAACUGCGAGUGUAGAGGUGAAAUUCGUAGAUAUUCGCAAGAACACCAGUGGCGAAGGCGGCUCACUGGCCCGAUACUGACGCUGAGGUGCGAAAGCGUGGGGAGCAAACAGG